Molecule: long non-coding RNA, 1043 nt
Filed under: Sarcophilus harrisii (Tasmanian devil)
Lineage: Eukaryota; Metazoa; Chordata; Mammalia; Dasyuromorphia; Dasyuridae
Description: lncRNA (ENSSHAG00000030951.1)
Source: RNAcentral
GUCUUAAUAGGAUUCUUAUUGUGAGGGAUUUAGAAGACCCUUACCCAAAAUGACUACUCAGAGAUUACUCAGUAGAAGGCAGAAAAGUUGUUUAUUGAAAACCUCAGGAGGAUGAGCCGGCCCAUCGCGAGGUAAGAAAGAGAAAGCUCGCUAGGAGGGCUAAAGAAGUAGUAAAGAUACAUAGCUUUUAUACAAGAAAUUACAUCACAAGUAAAGAGCAUUGAGAAGGGGAGGAGGAGGCAUCUAAUUGGUUGUUGCUAUUUAUAAUGGAGAGAUUGGAAUGGAAGGUUUCUGUUUCCCCCAAAUCUCCUGAUUUCAAGGAAAUAGAAAGUCAGGCCUUCAGGCUUAAUCAAGCAGACAGUGGUCCAGCCAAUAGACUAAAUAUUGAUAAAUGUCAAAUACCAAUAAAUGUCAUCAGCUCAAGUUAAGUAAAUAUGUUUCUAGCUGGCCAAGGCUCAAGUAGAUAUGAGCCUGCACAUAUUAUACAGGUCAGAGGGGAAACACAGAAAUAAUGAAAAUAAAAUACAGAAAAAGAAUUCAUACAUCCCUGUAAGUCCUUCACCUUAUCUCUCUCUAUUCCAUACAUUAUGGAGAAGAAGUUCAGCUGUUUUGAAGGCUUAUUUCUCGUCAGAAUUGUGGACUUGGGUAUUGGAAUGAAUUUAAGUUGUGAAGCCUGUAACAUAGCAACUAGGUUCGCAUUGAUGUUUUCAGACUUGAGGGAAAACAGGCUAUAAUUGGAAACUGAUUGGGUGCUGCAGUUGGAAAUGUGUUCAUGAUUAAAAUAUGAUCUUCUCUGAAGCAUAUUACCUCUCCAUUGGAUCAGGUGGGAAGAUCAUUGAGGGUCAGACUCAUCCAACUCCUCACUUCUCCCCAUGAUCACAGAAUCAAGCUUUCUUAAUCUGGGCUCUGUGAACAAAGGCAGCAGUUCAGGACAACCAGAGGAGGGGAGAGGGCCCUGGGCCAGAUUUGAGGUCAGAUCCCUGUUGACUCAGGGGCCAGGUACAUCUAGGCCUUGGAGGGAAAGGUCUGCCUUUGAGCAAUGA